RNAcentral lists this ribosomal RNA (443 nucleotides) under uncultured bacterium. Its description in RNAcentral is "partial 16S ribosomal RNA". It matches the Rfam family "Bacterial small subunit ribosomal RNA", at positions 338 to 795 of the family's 1533-position model. The record is from RNAcentral.
CCUACGGGUGGCUGCAGUUAGGAAUUUUGCGCAAUGGACGAAAGUCUGACGCAGCGACGCCGCGUGAGGGAUGAAGGCCUUCGGGUUGUAAACCUCUUUUAGCAGGAAAGAAACAAAUGACGGUACCUGCAGAAAAAGCACCGGCUAACUCUGUGCCAGCAGCCGCGGUAAUACAGAGGGUGCAAGCGUUAUUCGGAAUUAUUGGGCGUAAAGAGCACGUAGGUGGUUCGGUAAGUCAGAUGUGAAAGCCCUGGUCUCAAUCCAGGAAGUGCAUCUGAUACUGCCAGACUAGAGUAUAGGAGAGGAGAGCGGAAUUCCCGGUGUAGAGGUGAAAUUCAUAGAUAUCGGGAGGAACAACAGAGGCGAAGGCGGCUCUCUGGACUAUUACUGACACUGAGGUGCGAAAGCGUGGGGAGCAAACAGGAUUAGAUACCCUAGUAGUC